AGAGUUUGAUCCUGGCUCAGGACGAACGCUGGCGGCGCGCCUAACACAUGCAAGUCGAACGAGCGAGAGAGAGCUUGCUUUCUCGAGCGAGUGGCGAACGGGUGAGUAACGCGUGAGGAACCUGCCUCAAAGAGGGGGACAACAGUUGGAAACGACUGCUAAUACCGCAUAAGCCCACGACCCGGCAUCGGGUAGAGGGAAAAGGAGCAAUCCGCUUUGAGAUGGCCUCGCGUCCGAUUAGCUAGUUGGUGAGGUAACGGCCCACCAAGGCAACGAUCGGUAGCCGGACUGAGAGGUUGAACGGCCACAUUGGGACUGAGACACGGCCCAGACUCCUACGGGAGGCAGCAGUGGGGAAUAUUGCACAAUGGGGGAAACCCUGAUGCAGCGACGCCGCGUGGAGGAAGAAGGUCUUCGGAUUGUAAACUCCUGUUGCUGAGGAAGAUAAUGACGGUACUCAACAAGGAAGUGACGGCUAACUACGUGCCAGCAGCCGCGGUAAAACGUAGGUCACAAGCGUUGUCCGGAAUUACUGGGUGUAAAGGGAGCGCAGGCGGGAAGACAAGUUGGAAGUGAAAUCCAUGGGCUCAACCCAUGAACUGCUUUCAAAACUGUUUUUCUUGAGUAGUGCAGAGGUAGGCGGAAUUCCCGGUGUAGCGGUGGAAUGCGUAGAUAUCGGGAGGAACACCAGUGGCGAAGGCGGCCUACUGGGCACCAACUGACGCUGAGGCUCGAAAGUGUGGGUAGCAAACAGGAUUAGAUACCCUGGUAGUCCACACCGUAAACGAUGAUUACUAGGUGUUGGAGGAUUGACCCCUUCAGUGCCGCAGUUAACACAAUAAGUAAUCCACCUGGGGAGUACGACCGCAAGGUUGAAACUCAAAGGAAUUGACGGGGGCCCGCACAAGCAGUGGAGUAUGUGGUUUAAUUCGACGCAACGCGAAGAACCUUACCAAGUCUUGACAUCCUGCGACGAUGCUGGAAACAGUAUUUUCCUUCGGGACGCAGAGACAGGUGGUGCAUGGUUGUCGUCAGCUCGUGUCGUGAGAUGUUGGGUUAAGUCCCGCAACGAGCGCAACCCUUGCCUUUAGUUGCCAGCAUUAAGUUGGGCACUCUAGAGGGACUGCCAGGGAUAACCUGGAGGAAGGUGGGGAUGACGUCGAAUCAUCAUGCCUCUUAUGCUUAGGGCUACACACGUGCUACAAUGGGUGGUACAGAGGGCAGCCAAGUCGUGAGGCGGAGCUAAUCCCUUAAAGCCAUUCUCAGUUCGGAUUGUAGGCUGAAACUCGCCUACAUGAAGCUGGAGUUACUAGUAAUCGCAGAUCAGAAUGCUGCGGUGAAUGCGUUCCCGGGUCUUGUACACACCGCCCGUCACACCACGGGAGUUGGGGGCGCCCGAAGCCGGAUUGCUAACCUUUUGGAAGCGUCCGUCGAAGGUGAAAUCAAUAACUGGGGUGAAGUCGUAACAAGGUA
Molecule: ribosomal RNA, 1473 nt
Filed under: metagenome
Description: bacterial SSU rRNA
Rfam family: Bacterial small subunit ribosomal RNA
Source: RNAcentral